UUCAAAAUACAUAUACCUGAGCUAGAAAUAGAUCAUCGCUCCAAAAACCCCACAUCUCAUUCUGUUCGUCUGCCCCAAUCAAACCCUAAUCCUCAUACAGAGCCAUGGCCAUCACGCGUUCCGGCAGAGGGCGCCCCUUCCCCGUCGACAACCAGCCCUACCCCGCCACCAGUGGCCGAGGCCGUGGUCGUGGCCGUGGCCGUGGCCGUGGCCGUGUCCUUAUCCGUCACCGAUCACCCUCCCUACCCUUGAACCCAACCCCAAAUCAACAUCGACAGGAGGAGGAGGAGCUCGUACGAAAUCAAUUAGUACCGGAGGAGCAGGAAUCAAUAGUGGAGGAGGAGGAGGAGGAGUCCGUAGAGAGCCUUAUAGAAGGCUUACAGAAAGAAUCUCUGGUGGCUCUGGUUAUGGAAGCAAUCUCCAUUGACCCUCAUUUAGUCUGGCUGAGGUUGAUCCCGCCCAAAGAGAGAUCUUCGUGUCCUAUUUUGGAUGGGAGGACAUGACCCCUCUCACUUCUGAGACGUUGAAUUCUUUCUUUGAAAGAUAUGGAGAAAUUGAAAAUUGCACCAUCAGUGUCGAACAGAUAGAUGGGGAAACAGAGGGCCGAGGCUACAUUACCUUUAAGCAGCGAAAGGCCGCGUGGGAGGCAGCGAAGCAGCCAUCCCAUAGGAUCGGCGACAUCUAUGUCAGGUGCAUACUGCGCUCUGUUUGGCGCUUCCCCAAUCCUUCCCGCUGGUUGCAAUUGCCCGGCGUAUCGAGAUAUGAAUAUAAGUUACCAGAAAAUCAGUACGCCACCACCUCCUCUACUGAAGAAGAAGAGGAGCCUCUCGAGAAGCUUCUGGAAGCGUUAGGGACUUGCAACCUGGUUUCAUUAGUGAAGGAAGGACUAAUGAAAACCCCAACUAUACUAGCGAGCCUCUACAAGCACGCUGAGAUUGAUCCGACUCUUUGACAUAUCGCAGCUUACCGCAUUGGCCCCUAUUUCAUGACUAAUAGGAUGAUUGUGAAUUCAGUAUCUGAAAAGUACGGUGAGAUAGAACGCUGCAGGUUUGAUGAUGAUGGUGUUCAAGUAUUAUUCAAGGUGCAUGCGACCAUCAGGGAGGGGCGGCAUGCUUUUUUGGAUGAACUGUUGAACAAUGAGCACCAGCCACCCACAGCUUUAGGUGGCUGUCUUUAGAUUCAUCAAACGUUUUGGACUCUAGUGAUUCAUCGAACUGAAAGUUUUGGACUGGUGAUUUUGUAUGAAGUUCCUGAUGCUCAUGUAGAUGAUGCUUUAAUUAUUGUUUAUCUAAUGACUAGAAUCUACAUUCUCCGUACUUUCCUAUCUAUUCAAGUACUUCAUUUUUUUGGAUGUUUCGAGAACAAUGUGGUAUUUUUGUGUCAAUAUUUAUGUUUCUAAAGAACUCUUUGGGGAGAACAUCCUCAGAACAUCAGUUGUGUGGAUUUUUGGGCAUAUUAAUUUUUCUGCAAGUGCUUUAUAAUGGAAUUAUAUUCAGAAUUGAA
Molecule: long non-coding RNA, 1503 nt
Organism: Camellia sinensis
Lineage: Eukaryota; Viridiplantae; Streptophyta; Magnoliopsida; Ericales; Theaceae
Source: RefSeq, a predicted model, not a curated record